AACUUCGGGAGGCGCGGACCGCCCGGCCCCGUGCGCCCCUCUCUUCCCUCGGCCUCAGCGCUGCUCCGUCCUCAGCCCGGAGUGAGCAGAGAGCGGACCCCGCGGUGGCGCACGGCCAGGCUGCUUCCCGUGGCCUGGGAGCGGCUGAGCUACUCUGGGCCAAGCCGGCAAAACAGUGUGCCCUUCGCCGGCCUGCGGAGCCCGCGAGGACCCCGCAGGCCGAGUGCCGCCAGCUGGGACCCCCCCCGGGCCGCUUUGAGGCCACUGGCUGAGACCCGGGCCCAGCGCCCCGCAGCGUCCGCCCUCGGCCCGCGGGGUUCUCCCUCACGCGGACCUGCCACGUGGCCUGGACGGAGGCCGUUCGGCCUGGGCAUCAGGAUGAAGCCUGGUCCUGGGUCUACACUGGGGCGGGCCCUGUCCCUGGUGAGCAGAGCCACAGCUCCCUGGUCUGCAGCUGUGAGGAUGCUCCAGGCCUAGGGACUCGGACAGCACCAGGAAGUCUCGCCUGGGAUUAGCGACAGUGUGACCCGCGAGAGUAAUUACUGCUUACCCGCUCCGAAAUUACCAGCUUCGGUUCUCUGACCUGCCCGGGGCUUCUUCCUGUCCACGCCCCUCCCUGCUGCCCCCCUCCCGGCCAAGGCCAGGGCCCCGUGCCGGCUUUGGCAGAUUUCGGGUGGCCUUCAGUGAGCUGGCGCCGCCCGCUCUGGGAGUCCCCACCCUGCUUCCUCGCCAGGAACCCCAAGCAGGGCCCACUUCCCUCUUCUUUGCACCCCAAGGAACCCCAGCGCUGCCUGGACCUGGGACUGUCUCUCCAGCGUCCUGCUAAGCAAACACCAGUGUGGCAUUUCAAGGUGACAGGUAAACACAGGAAUCCAAAACAAAGUUAAUCUGAUCAGCCAGGAUCAAUAGAGAAGGGAGUGAAGAUCCGAAGUUCUUUGAAGCUGGUAAAGGCAGGGGAAUAAUCCUUGCAAACAAUGGAGACCUUUAAUUCACAGGCUCCAGCUCCGAGUGCCAUUGUGUGGUGGAUUUGCUGGGCUUCAGGUUUUCCCUGGGACUGCGAGCAGGUGCAGCCGCAGAGCCGAAGUCCCCGUGUGGACCCCCUGGCCGCCCUGGCCAGUGGAAGUCACCAUUAAUCCAGCUUUGUGCACUGACAAUGGAGACUGCACACACGGGCCUUCCCCUAUAUGGCUUUACUCCAGGGCCUUUCUCUUACCUGGGCACUGGCUAUCCCAAGGAAGACACAUGGAAACCAACAAGGCAAGUUCAGUUUCACAUCUGAAAAUCAAGCAUGCACAGAGAGAAUUCUGACCUGAAGCCACGUGGACAGCACUCGAGGGGCAGCUAGGGUACGAGCACACCAGGCCUGGAGCGCAGGACACCGAGCUCUCUGCCGGGACCCAGCCCACCCUCACCUGUGUGGGCAGCAGGCUCAUCCAGGCCUCUGCAUCUGCACCUCCCACCAGAGUCUAAGAACAGCACCCUCCAGAGAGAGCCGUCCAGGACAGCCUGACUCAGAGGUCACCCAGAUGUGACAGCUCCAGCUGAGUCUCUGGCAUCUGGAGGAGGUGGGGAGGAACCACGAGGCAUCCAGGGCAGAUUUGCUCUUGGCAGGGCCUUGCUGCUCCUCUGUCCUCCUUCUGACCAAAAACUCCCCUCCCCUGCAUGGUCCCUUCAACUUUCCCUGGCCUCACUGGGUAAAUAUUUCCUAUCACAACCAUGCACACGAUACGGGCUCCCUUCUCACUCCCAGGAGUGGCAGAGAACUUGUAGAGAUGGAGCCCUACUGGUAUGCGCACGAGUGGGCAGAGAGGCUCUCCUUGCAGCAGGCUUCGCUGGCCGUGGAGUGUGGGAAGGCCAGGCGCUCCCCGAGCCGAGGACAGUGUUGCUGUGAGGAGAGCUGGGACACUCGUGGGCUUUCCCGCUGUUGCAGGAGAUCCUCCUUCACAGUGGCUUCUCACCUUCCCCAGUCCACAGCGGACACUCCCUGGUGUCCACAGAGAGCUGGGCACUGCUGUCCUCUGGUAAAACAGAGGCCCUGAGCUUGCUGCCAGGAACUCAGAACAGGAGACAGCAAGGGCGAUGCUGCCUGCGGAGGAUAAUGGGAUUUAUUAAGGCCAUUCAUCCUGAAGUCACAUGGAAAGUGCCACGUUUGAAUGAUGAAACGCAAGCCUGAAUAUCCAAAAAGCACUAGAACUCCCUUCCCAGGAAAACUGCCUUUCAAACCUUUAAAAUGAUGCCCUUUAAGGAGAACACAAACUAUCCCUGUGAUGUAGCCAUAAAGCAGAAGUAGAAAACACAACAGCUCAAUUUAAGAAAAUGUGAAAAUUACAUGGCCCUGGUGAAAUCCCAGACACAGAGUCAAGUGAAAACAGCUGUGGAUACAAAGGCCAUGUGGACAGUGGGAGGCUAGGUGUCUCGAGGGGGCGAGGAAGGAAUUCUGGCUGUGGAGCCCCUGUGCACUUGCGGAGGGCCAGUCACGUCGCAUGCUGCUGGCACUGAGCAGGUGUUGGUCACUUAGAUGACACCGGUGGCUGAAGCCCCCAACACUGUGCUGACCGAUGGGAGCAGGACUCAGACAGGAGCACAGGCAGACCUGCAGGAAGACCCUAUGGCACAGGAAGCAGAAGAGCCAGUCACCACGUGCUGCAAGUGUGGUGGCUCCUGUGAGCCUCCGGGUUGGUGAGGAUGAGACAGAGCAGGCACAGACUGCGCACAUCUCCGCCUCCUCGGCACCUGUGAAAGCCGGGCUGGUGAAUGCGUCCUCUCCAGCUCUCUCUCUCUGACAUUGCACUGGCAUGAGACAGAAAUUCUAUGCAGGAAUCAGGGUCCUCGUUCAGAUAAACGCACCCCACCCUGUCCAGAGUCACCGGCGGGUGGACAUAGGGCGGAGCUUCCACAAACAGGAAGCAACACGGCCAACCACGGGUGUCUGCAAGCAUUGACCCCUGGCUGUGUGCUGGCCCUGUUCUGGAGUGAGAGCCCUGCUAAGGCAGGCCCUCUAGCUGCCCGCGGUCGACCUGGCUGGAUGGGGGGACUUAAGGGACCUGUUCUAGCUGUGCCAGCCCCACGGGCUGCUCUCCCCGGGGACAGCUUCGCAGCCUGUCAGUUGCACCAGCGGCCGCCUCUGCAGCCCAAGGCACCCGACUGAACGCCCUCAAGUCCCAGUCAGAAGAAAAACUAUGCCUGGGAGAAAACGCAAGAUGAGUACGACUCCUCUUGCUUUAAUUAAGUUUGAUCGGAGGUUGUGCUGCAUCUAGGAAAGCCAGAGCCAAUUUUCGCAGUGUGGUUUGCAAAGCAAAGGCGUGUCUUCGAAGACUACAGGAGAACACAUGUCCUAAACGUGGCCCGGGGUUACCGAGCUGUACCUUCAGGCAGUUCACAUGGAGAGCAAAUGCUCUGCGGCUCCUAGGGGCUCAGGCUCCAAACCAGAGCAAAUCGUCUGCUUUUCAAUUCCUGGCAGCUCAGAUUCUCCUGCUAGCUUGGAAGAUGCCCGGCGUGGGUCCAGCUCCCCAGGGCAGACGUCCGGGACGUGUAAUCUGGAUCCAGGAUCAGAUCUUCGCCAGCUCUCCAGACCACUGCCCUGCUGCCUGUCCUGCAGACCCAAGGUGACCAGUUAGCCUGGAAAGGUGGCAUCAGAGGAGGCCAAACUCAGGACUGAGCACCCGGCAAGGGAGUCAAGAUGGUGGCUGUGGAGGGGCCACCUCAGUUCACUGCUGUGGGAGAGGACAGGAGCAUGCAGAGUCUUCUGCAGAGCAGCGUCAGAGUAGCAUCAAUUUCUUUAAAUUAAAUACAUUAAUUUAAAUUAAUAUGCACAGUUAUUUACUUUCUGCUGAUGGAUGGAAGCAAAGGUCAUGAUUUGUUAAAGAGCUGAUGAAAGUUAAGAGUUUUCCACAAAAAAGUGCAUACAGGGAUACACCAAUAGUUUUGCAUAAAAUAUGCAAACAUAUAUGUAAAAUAAAUUUUUUCUUCUGUAGGGCAGCCAUAAUACUAUAUAUAAAAGACCUAACAAUAAAACAUUGAAAAACACAAGAGAAUUUUGAGAAAUAUGAAAUGAGCUAAAGGAAUACCUAAGUAAUUAAGAAGACAUCCACUUCUCUGGAUGUGAAGAAUCCGUACUGGUGGCCGUGGCGUCGGCAUUGAGCGGGGAGUCUGGUGCAAGAGAUUGUAUGAGAUGGUGUAUGAGAUUUGACAAGGUGUGGGGUGGCAUUCCUGCUGGUGUUCCACAUCAAAUGUCAUGUUUGCUGGGGUAUUCUGUUUUAGGCACAUACAGAUGGGAAUGUGAAGAGACAUAUUCACUACAUACAUUACAUACAUACAUUGUAUUAGUCAGCUUUCUCAUUGAUGCACACAGUACCAAAACCCACAGCUUAAAGGAGGAGAAGUGCAACUUGGCUCAUUUUUUGAAGGGAUUCAAUCCAAGGUCAGCUGGCUCCAAGGCAAGAACAUCAUGGCGGAAGGGUCUGGUGGAGCAAAGAUGCUUCGUUCAUGGUGGCCAGGAAGCUGAGCAGGGGAAUAGGCCAGAGAGGAAGGGUCCUAGGGCCAGAUCUAGAUCCCAAGAGCACACCCCCAUGACCUACUCAGACACAGCUAAAGUGUGUUCCACUUUGGGAUCAGAUCCCAAAGCCAAUCAAGGUGACACCCCACCCUAACCUCUAUAGCUAUGUAUCAACAUACACAUGUAUAUACACAUAAAAGUCAGAUAACAUGGAGAUGGAGGCAAUAAACAGAGAAAGUUGAAAAUCUGCAGCCUAACUCACUUUAUUUGUCAGCUUUCCAGUCACUGGGAUACAAUACUGGACACCAACAAAUUAUAAGGAGGACAGGUUUAAUUUGGCUCAGGGUUUGGGGGAUUCAGUCCACGGUCAGCUGGCUCCAAGGCAGAAAUAUGGUGGAAGGGAUAGCCAAAGAAAGCUGCUGCUCACCGCAUGGCGGCCAGGAAACAGAGAGAGGGGAGGAGCCAGGGACAGCAAUCCACCCUUCCUGGCCACACUCCAGUGACCACCUCCAAUCAGACCCCACCCCCAACAGCACAUUCAUCCAUGAACUUAUCCACGACUAACCUACUGACGAGUACAGUGCUCCUAAGACCCUAUCACCUUCCAAAAGCCCACCUCUGAAUACAUGAGACUUCGGG
This 5134-nucleotide long non-coding RNA is filed under the name Heterocephalus glaber (naked mole-rat). RNAcentral's name for it is "lncRNA (ENSHGLG00000032786.1)". Lineage: Eukaryota; Metazoa; Chordata; Mammalia; Rodentia; Bathyergidae. The record is from RNAcentral.